AACGCGGUAGUCCUUUUGGAUGUUGACAUCCGUUCAGUGCAAAGAUGGGUUCUAAAAAAUCAUUGAAGAUAAAGCUGAAGCUGGCGAAGAAACUUCGCCAGAACCAGCCGAUCCCUCAGUGGAUUCGCUCACGAACUGGCAACACUAUCAGGUACAACGCGAAGAGGCGUCACUGGCGUCGCUCUAAGCUGAAGCUGUAAGCCCCGUCCGCUGCCGUCAAUUCCUCGCGGACUGGAUUGGACGUGCUGGUCACCGCGCGCCGGGCGACCGAGCGUCUUUGCUGAAACAUGUACCGUUGAAAAUACAAUUGUCCAUCCACUGAA
Molecule: long non-coding RNA, 323 nt
Organism: Amphibalanus amphitrite
Lineage: Eukaryota; Metazoa; Arthropoda; Thecostraca; Balanomorpha; Balanidae
Exons: 3
Source: RefSeq, a predicted model, not a curated record